CGGGUGAGUAACACGUGGAUAACCUACCUAUAAGACUGGGAUAACUUCGGGAAACCGGAGCUAAUACCGGAUAAUAUUUUGAACCGCAUGGUUCAAAAGUGAAAGACGGUCUUGCUGUCACUUAUAGAUGGAUCCGCGCUGCAUUAGCUAGUUGGUAAGGUAACGGCUUACCAAGGCAACGAUGCAUAGCCGACCUGAGAGGGUGAUCGGCCACACUGUAACUGAGACACGGUCCAG
This 237-nucleotide ribosomal RNA is filed under the name uncultured Staphylococcus sp. Its description in RNAcentral is "partial 16S ribosomal RNA". It matches the Rfam family "Bacterial small subunit ribosomal RNA", at positions 103 to 334 of the family's 1533-position model. Lineage: Bacteria; Bacillati; Bacillota; Bacilli; Caryophanales; Staphylococcaceae. The record is from RNAcentral.